UACAGAGGGGGCAAGCGUUGUUCGGAAUUACUGGGCGUAAAGGGCGCGUAGGCGGCCUGCUAAGUCGAACGUGAAAUCCCUGGGCUCAACCCAGGAACUGCGUCCGAUACUGGUUGGCUUGAAUCCGGGAGAGGGAUGCGGAAUUCCAGGUGUAGCGGUGAAAUGCGUAGAUAUCUGGAGGAACACCGAUGGCGAAGGCAGCUCUCUGGGACGGUACUGACGCUGAGACGCGAAAGCGUGGGGAGCGAACAGG
RNAcentral lists this ribosomal RNA (253 nucleotides) under uncultured bacterium. RNAcentral's name for it is "partial 16S ribosomal RNA". It matches the Rfam family "Bacterial small subunit ribosomal RNA", at positions 524 to 776 of the family's 1533-position model. The record is from RNAcentral.